RNAcentral lists this long non-coding RNA (296 nucleotides) under Ananas comosus (pineapple). RNAcentral describes it as "long non-coding RNA (ACOM_LNC032104)". Lineage: Eukaryota; Viridiplantae; Streptophyta; Magnoliopsida; Poales; Bromeliaceae. The record is from RNAcentral.
AGUGAAGUGCUAAUUGUACAUCUAAGGCCCCGUUUGGAUGCACAGUAAAUAAAUUCCAUGGAAUUUAAAUACCGUAGUUUUGGUCCAAAUAAAAUGGAGUAUCCUGUAACUCCAAAAAAAUUCCACGGGUUACUUUAAAAGCUGUUUGGAUACACAUUUUAGAAUUCUACAGGAUUUCUGAUAAUCUUUAAAAAUUAGCCUUGUGAAUUUAAACUUAAAUUAUUAGUUAUUAAAUGACUUUAAAAUCUAAAAAUUUAAAUAAAAUUUUAAAAUUUAAAUUUAAAUUAUUAACUAUU